Molecule: ribosomal RNA, 393 nt
Filed under: uncultured bacterium
Lineage: Bacteria
Description: partial 16S ribosomal RNA
Rfam family: Bacterial small subunit ribosomal RNA
Source: RNAcentral
AUACGGAGGAUGCGAGCGUUAUCCGGAUUUAUUGGGUUUAAAGGGUGCGUAGGCUGUGCGUUAAGUCAGGGGUGAAAUGCCGUCGCUCAACGACGGAGCUGCCCUUGAUACUGGCGUGCUGGAGUACGGAUGCCGUUGGAGGAAUGAGUGGUGUAGCGGUGAAAUGCUUAGAUAUCACUCAGAACACCGAUUGCGAAGGCAUCUGACGAAUCCGUCACUGACGCUGAGGCACGAAAGCGUGGGGAUAGAACAGGAUUAGAUACCCUGGUAUUCCACGCCGUAAACGAUGAUGACUAACCGUCGGCGAUAGACAGCCGGUGGCCAAGCGAAAGCGAUAAGUCAUCCACCUGGGGAGUACGCCGGCAACGAUGAAACUCAAAUGAAUUGGCGGGG